This 1127-nucleotide long non-coding RNA is filed under the name Homo sapiens (human). RNAcentral describes it as "novel transcript, sense intronic to GPN2". Lineage: Eukaryota; Metazoa; Chordata; Mammalia; Primates; Hominidae. The record is from RNAcentral.
UUUUUUUUUUUUUUUUUUGAGACGGACCGUCAAUCUUGUUGCCCCAGUUGGAGUGCAAUGGUGCAAUCUCAGCUCACUGCAACCUCCAUCUCCCACGUUCAAGCAAUUCUCCUGCCUCAGCCUCCCGAGUAAGUGGGAUAAUAGGCGCCCGCCACCACGCUCAGCUAAUUUUUUGUAUUUUUAGUAGAGACAGCGUUUUACCAUGUUGGCCAGGCUGGUUUCGAACUCCUGAACUCAGGUGAUCCACCUGCCUUGGCCUCCCAAAGUGCUGGGAUUAUAGGCGUGAGCCACCAUGCCCGGCCUGCAACUUUUAUAUUUAUUUCUUAGAGGCAGGGUCUUGCUCCUUUGCCCAGGCUGGAGUGCAGUGAUGCAAUCAUAGCUCACUGCGACCUUGAACUCCUGGGCUCGUUACCCUCCCACCUCAGCCUCCCAAAGUGCUGGGAUCACAGGCAUGAGCCAUCGUCCCCAGCUGGGAAGGGCAGUUUAUGUUUGUUUAUUUUGUGAGGCAGAGUCUCACUCUGUUGCCCAGGCUGGAGUGCAGUGGCGUGAUCUCAGCUCACUGCAGCCUUGACCUCCCUGGGCUCAAGUGAUCCUCCCACUUCAGCCUCCUGAAUAGCUAGGACUAUGGGCGUGUGCCACUGUGGCCAGCUAAUUUUUGUAGAGAUGGGGUUUCACCAUACAGCCUAGGCUGGGAGAAGCAAUUUAAAUAAUGUAGUAUUUUGUACACCGUACAGAUGGUUCCCAACUUAUGAUGGCUCAACUUUAUGAUGGUGUGAAAGCUAUAUGCAUUCAGUAGAAAUCAUACUUUGGGUACCUAUCAAUCAUUCUUUCACUUUCAGUACAGUAUUCAAUAAAUUACAUGAGAUAUUCAAUACUUUAUUGUAAAAUAGGCUUUGUGUUAGAUAAUUUUGCCCAAAUGCAGCUAACGUAAGUGUUCUAAGAAUAUUUAAGGUAGGCGAAACUAAGCUAUGAUGUGUGGUAGGUUAUGUGUAUUAAAUGCAUUUUCGACUUAAGAUAUUUUUGAUUUAGGAUGGGUUUAUCAGGAUGUAACCCCAUCAUAAGUCAAGGAGCAUCUGUACGUUACUUUAUGUAUUCGUAUAUAUAAAGGAUUCUAUUCACAAAACCAU